This 28-nucleotide small RNA is filed under the name Bombyx mori (domestic silkworm). RNAcentral's name for it is "piRNA piR-bmo-1472874". The record is from RNAcentral. Lineage: Eukaryota; Metazoa; Arthropoda; Insecta; Lepidoptera; Bombycidae.
UCAGAUCAAACUAUAUAAACUCUGGUCU